UACGAAGGGGGCUAGCGUUGUUCGGAAUUACUGGGCGUAAAGCGCACGUAGGCGGAUACUUAAGUCAGGGGUGAAAUCCCGGGGCUCAACCCCGGAACUGCCUUUGAUACUGGGUAUCUCGAGUCCGGAAGAGGUGAGUGGAAUUCCGAGUGUAGAGGUGAAAUUCGUAGAUAUUGGGAAGAACACCGGUGGCGAAGGCGGCGACCUGGUCCGAUACUGACGCUGAGGCGCGAAAGCGUGGGGAGCAAACAGG
This 253-nucleotide ribosomal RNA is filed under the name uncultured bacterium. Its description in RNAcentral is "partial 16S ribosomal RNA". It matches the Rfam family "Bacterial small subunit ribosomal RNA", at positions 524 to 776 of the family's 1533-position model. The record is from RNAcentral.